AUGUGUGAUUCAAUGCGCACACUGACAUUUAGCACUUUGUUUCAAUUUGUUCGGCAUCCACCUCUUUUAUCCAAGAUGAGAAUUAGUGUACCCAUAAUCCUCUUUGUUGCAGCGACAGGUUUCCACAGUGUGAUUUCAGCAUCUCUGCAAUGUGAUGAAAGGACUAAAUUGCCAGAAGAGAGAGCGUUUGAAGAGAACAGCACGACUCCACAAACAGAUGAGUCGGAGUAUGAGGCUGCUCAUGUGAAAGAUGGAGAGACAAAGGCAGUGACAGACACUACAGAGCAAAGCUUGCUUGAGAAGGAAGAAAGUCAUGAUGGUGAGAGAGAGGCGCUGACAGAUGCUACAGGCGCGAACACCGGAAGUGACGCGCCCAUAGAUUCAGACUCUGGGGACGACACCUCUCAACAGAACACAGAACACAGUGAGCAUGUGGAAGAGAAUGUGAAAAGUUCUGAGGAUUUCAGUGAUGAAGAAUACAAUUUAUAUUACGAUUAAGACAGUGUGAAGCAGCUGUGUGUAAUCCAUCUAACAUCUUUAAAACUAAAUGCAUUGUUUUAUAAAGCAUGUUGCUGAACAUUCUAACCAACCGUGUGUACCACCUGGAAAAAAAAAAAAAACCUUCCAUGGUGACCUUUCACACAAUUUGUGAUGGCGGCUUUUUUUUUUCCAAAUAAAGACUGUAAACACUG
Molecule: long non-coding RNA, 692 nt
Organism: Cyprinus carpio (common carp)
Lineage: Eukaryota; Metazoa; Chordata; Actinopteri; Cypriniformes; Cyprinidae
Source: Ensembl